This 1259-nucleotide long non-coding RNA is filed under the name Homo sapiens (human). Its description in RNAcentral is "HSALNT0075010". The record is from RNAcentral. Lineage: Eukaryota; Metazoa; Chordata; Mammalia; Primates; Hominidae.
GCAGCGGCAACUGAGUGAGCUCCGCUUCCACGUGUGGGAGGUUUGUUCUUUGGCUGUUGGCAGUAAAUGUUGCUGCUGCUGACUCUUUGGGUUUGAGCCGCCUUUAUGAGCUGUAAUGUUCACCAUGAUGGUCUGCAGCUUCUCUCUUGAAGCCAGCUAGACCACGAACCCCCCAGAAGGAAGAAACUCCCGAUACGUUGGAACAUUAGAAGUAACAAACUCCGGACAUAGCAUCUUUAAGAACGGUAACAGUCACCACGAGGGUCUGCAGCUUCAUUCUUGAAGUCAGCCAGACCAAGAAACCACCAAUUGUGGACACAUCGGGAUUGGCACAUGUUGAAUGCUGUGAGACUAGAUGCCAAAGUAUGCAUGUGUUGUGAAUUAUGUUUACAAGAUGUUAUAAAUAUGGGCCGAUAAAGUUGAUAUUUAUAAUUCCUUAAAGUCACGUAUUAAAUCUGAUAUAUUUUAUCUCUUCACAAGUCAAAAUAAACUUAGAAAGUUUUGAGAAACAAAAAUAUAGACUAGAAUAUUAUAUGCAUGUAAGACUGUACAAAUCCAGUCUAAAAUGUAAUUAAUGUAUCAUUGUUUCCUCCUUGGGAAAAUUAUCCAGUAGUACUCCAACAUUAUGUCUUUUUCUGUCUAGUCCUAAUGCAGAGGAGACAGGAAAUCAGAAACAGCUUAAAACCCUUGGUGAUGUACUAGUGACAGUUGAAUUAGAAUAAAAUAUGUGUCUUUUGACUGCUUGCUAAAAAUGUAAAUGAUUUUUUAUAAUUUUUUUUGACUUCUUAGUGCCAGUGUGUUUACAUUGACCAAAUAUUUUGGUGAAAGUUUUGUAUAUUUUUUUUCAAAAUGUUAAGACAAUAAAAAUAUUUGAGUUCAACAAUGUAUUCUUAGAAAUAUAUUUCUAGUUUUAUAGUGCUUAAGUUUAUUAGAAUAUGACAAUAACAUAUGCCAAAUCAAUGCUUAAAUUGAUACUUUUUAUAAUUUUCUUGAUCUUGAGAAGUCUUAAAAAGAGGUACUAUAUUUUUCAUUAUAAUAUAUAAAGAUACCUAUUGAUUAUAAUUUCAUUUGGCUUAGGAAUUUCCCUUUGAAAGAAAGUAUCAUUUUGGAUGAAUGUAGAAUGUAUUUAAAAAUUUUAAACACCGAAGAGAUAAGUUUAUACACUUGGACUCUGUUAUUAAUAAGUUAUGGCCAUUAUCUCUUCCUUGCCAUGGGGAGAGUCCUAGUUGUUAUUAUACUGUCAUGUGUCACUUAAAGAU